Molecule: ribosomal RNA, 561 nt
Filed under: uncultured eukaryote
Lineage: Eukaryota
Description: eukaryotic LSU rRNA
Rfam family: Eukaryotic large subunit ribosomal RNA
Source: RNAcentral
CCAACCGGGAUUGCCUUAGUAACGGCGAGUGAAGCGGCAAAAGCUCAAAUUUGAAAUCUGGCUCUAUUUUGGGGUCCGAAUUGUAAUUUGAAGAAGCGACUUUGGACCUGGCUCUUGUCUAUGUUCCUUGGAACAGGACGUCACAGAGGGUGAGAAUCCCGUGCGAUGAGAAGCCCAGGUUCGUGUAAAGCGUUUUCGACGAGUCGAGUUGUUUGGGAAUGCAGCUCUAAGUGGGUGGUAAAUUCCAUCUAAAGCUAAAUAUUGGCGAGAGACCGAUAGCGAACAAGUACAGUGAUGGAAAGAUGAAAAGAACUUUGAAAAGAGAGUGAAAAAGUACGUGAAAUUGUUGAAAGGGAAGGGCUUGAGAUCAGACUUUGUUUUUCCAUGGCGCUCUUUCGGGGGUGUCCUCUGGGUCUACAGGGCCAGCAUGGGUUUUGCGGGCGAGACAAGGACUCAGGAAUGUGGCUCUGCUUCGGUGGAGUGUUAUAGCCUGGGGUACUGGUCGCCAUGCGGGACCGAGGACUGCGGUACUAGGAUGCUGGCAUAAUGAUCUUAAGCCGC